This 253-nucleotide ribosomal RNA is filed under the name uncultured bacterium. RNAcentral describes it as "partial 16S ribosomal RNA". It matches the Rfam family "Bacterial small subunit ribosomal RNA", at positions 524 to 776 of the family's 1533-position model. The record is from RNAcentral.
UACGUAGGGGGCAAGCGUUAUCCGGAUUCACUGGGUGUAAAGGGUGCGUAGGUGGCAAUGUAAGUCAGAUGUGAAAUUUUGGGGCUCAACCUCAAAGCUGCAUCUGAAACUGCGUAGCUAGAGUGCAGGAGAGGAAAGCGGAAUUCCGAGUGUAGCGGUGAAAUGCGUAGAGAUUCGGAGGAACACCAGUAGCGAAGGUGGCUUUCUGGACUGUAACUGACACUGAGGCACGAAAGCGUGGGGAGCAAACAGG